This 450-nucleotide ribosomal RNA is filed under the name uncultured bacterium. RNAcentral describes it as "bacterial SSU rRNA". It matches the Rfam family "Bacterial small subunit ribosomal RNA", at positions 340 to 786 of the family's 1533-position model. The record is from RNAcentral.
UACGGGAGGCAGCAGUGGGGAAUAUUGCACAAUGGGCGCAAGCCUGAUGCAGCCAUGCCGCGUGUAUGAAGAAGGCCUUCGGGUUGUAAAGUACUUUCAGUCGUGAGGAAGGUGUUAAGGUUAAUAACCUUAGCAAUUGACGUUAGCGACAGAAGAAGCACCGGCUAACUCCGUGCCAGCAGCCGCGGUAAUACGGAGGGUGCGAGCGUUAAUCGGAAUUACUGGGCGUAAAGGGCACGCAGGCGGUUAAUUAAGUUGGAUGUGAAAUCCCCGGGCUUAACCUGGGAAUGGCAUUCAAGACUGGUUAGCUAGAGUCUUGUAGAGGGGGUAGAAUUCCAUGUGUAGCGGUGAAAUGCGUAGAGAUGUGGAGGAUACCGGUGGCGAAGGCGGCCCCUGGACAAGACUGACGCUCAUGUGCGAAAGCGUGGGGAGCAAACAGGAUUAGAUACC